AACGAACGCUGGCGGCAUGCCUAACACAUGCAAGUCGAACGAGACCUUCGGGUCUAGUGGCGCACGGGUGCGUAACGCGUGGGAACCUGCCCUUAGGUUCGGAAUAACUCCCCGAAAGGGGUGCUAAUACCGGAUAAUGUCUUCGGACCAAAGAUUUAUCGCCUUUGGAUGGGCCCGCGUUGGAUUAGCUAGUUGGUAGGGUAAAAGCCUACCAAGGCGACGAUCCAUAGCUGGUCUGAGAGGAUGAUCAGCCACACUGGGACUGAGACACGGCCCAGACUCCUACGGGAGGCAGCAGUGGGGAAUAUUGGACAAUGGGCGAAAGCCUGAUCCAGCAAUGCCGCGUGAGUGAUGAAGGCCUUGGGUUGUAAAGCUCUUUUACCCGGGAUGAUAAUGACAGUACCGGGAGAAUAAGCUCCGGCUAACUCCGUG
RNAcentral lists this ribosomal RNA (432 nucleotides) under uncultured bacterium. RNAcentral describes it as "partial 16S ribosomal RNA". It matches the Rfam family "Bacterial small subunit ribosomal RNA", at positions 29 to 507 of the family's 1533-position model. The record is from RNAcentral.